Molecule: ribosomal RNA, 462 nt
Filed under: uncultured bacterium
Lineage: Bacteria
Description: bacterial SSU rRNA
Rfam family: Bacterial small subunit ribosomal RNA
Source: RNAcentral
UAAGGAAUAUUGCGCAAUGGGCGACAGCCUGACGCAGCGACGCCGCGUGGGGGAUGGAGGUCUUCGGAUUGUAAACCCCUUUCGGCAGGGAAGAUGGAACGGGUAACCGUUCGGACGGUACCUGCAGAAGCAGCCACGGCUAACUUCGUGCCAGCAGCCGCGGUAAUACGAAGGUGGCAAGCGUUGUUCGGAUUUACUGGGCGUACAGGGAGCGUAGGCGGUUGGGUAAGCCCUCCGUGAAAUCUCCGGGCCUAACCCGGAAAGUGCGGAGGGGACUGCUCGGCUAGAGGAUGGGAGAGGAGCGCGGAAUUCCCGGUGUAGCGGUGAAAUGCGUAGAGAUCGGGAGGAAGGCCGGUGGCGAAGGCGGCGCUCUGGAACAUUUCUGACGCUGAGGCUCGAAAGCGUGGGGAGCAAACAGGAUUAGAUACCCAAGUAGUCCCUGAGCGGGCUGGCAAGGCGCAU